GAUGAACGCUGGCGGCGUGCCUAAUACAUGCAAGUCGAGCGAACAGACGAGGAGCUUGCUCCUCUGACGUUAGCGGCGGACGGGUGAGUAACACGUGGAUAACCUACCUAUAAGACUGGGAUAACUUCGGGAAACCGGAGCUAAUACCGGAUAAUAUAUUGAACCGCAUGGUUCAAUAGUGAAAGACGGUUUUGCUGUCACUUAUAGAUGGAUCCGCGCCGCAUUAGCUAGUUGGUAAGGUAACGGCUUACCAAGGCAACGAUGCGUAGCCGACCUGAGAGGGUGAUCGGCCACACUGGAACUGAGACACGGUCCAGACUCCUACGGGAGGCAGCAGUAGGGAAUCUUCCGCAAUGGGCGAAAGCCUGACGUAGCAACGCCGCGUGAGUGAUGAAGGUCUUCGGAUCGUAAAACUCUGUUAUUAGGGAAGAACGAAUGUGUAAGUAACUAUGCACGUCUUGACGGUACCUAAUCAGAAAGCCACGGCUAACUACGUG
This 497-nucleotide ribosomal RNA is filed under the name uncultured bacterium. RNAcentral describes it as "partial 16S ribosomal RNA". It matches the Rfam family "Bacterial small subunit ribosomal RNA", at positions 28 to 507 of the family's 1533-position model. The record is from RNAcentral.